Molecule: ribosomal RNA, 908 nt
Filed under: uncultured archaeon
Lineage: Archaea
Description: bacterial SSU rRNA
Rfam family: Archaeal small subunit ribosomal RNA
Source: RNAcentral
GGUUGAUCCUGCCGGAGGUCACUGCUAUCGGGGUUCGACUAAGCCAUGCGAGUCGAGAGGUGCAAGACCUCGGCGUACUGCUCAGUAACACGUGGAUAAUCUACCCUGAGGAGAGGGAUAACCCCGGGAAACUGGGGAUAAUACCUCAUAGGUUACGGAGGCUGGAAUGCCCUGUAACCCAAAGCUCCGGCGCCUCAGGAUGAGUCUGCGGCCGAUUAGGUUGUUGUUGGGGUAACGGCCCAACAAGCCGAUAAUCGGUACGGGUUGUGGGAGCAAGAGCCCGGAGAUGGAUUCUGAGACAUGAAUCCAGGCCCUACGGGGCGCAGCAGGCGCGAAAACUUUACAAUGCGAGCAAUCGUGAUAAGGGAACCCCGAGUGCCUGUACACGCAGGCUGUUCAGAUGUUUAAAACACAUCUGGAGAAAGGGCCGGGCAAGACCGGUGCCAGCCGCCGCGGUAAUACCGGCGGCUCGAGUGGUGGCCACUAUUACUGGGCUUAAAGCGUCCGUAGCUGGGUUGUUAAGUCUCCUGAGAAAUCUGCCGGCUUAACCGUCAGGCGUUCAGGAGAUACUGGCAAUCUCGGGACUGGGGGAGGUGAGAGGUACUCCGGGGGUAGGAGUGAAAUCCUGUAAUCCUCGGGGGACCACCUGUGGCGAAGGCGUCUCACCAGAACAGCUCCGACAGUGAGGGACGAAAGCUGGGGGAGCAAACCGGAUUAGAUACCCGGGUAGUCCCAGCUGUAAACGAUGCGCGUUAGGUGUGUCGGUAACCACGAGUUACCGAGGUGCCGUAGGGAAACUGCUAAACGCGCCGCCUGGGAAGUACGGCCGCAAGGCUGAAACUUAAAGGAAUUGGCGGGGGAGCACCACAACGGGUGGAGCCUGCGGUUUAAUUGGAKUCAACGCCGGR